GAAAAUUCUGGAGAAAUCAACCUUGUCGAACCUCUCUUUCAAAUCAUUCUACACAAUACUGGUAUUAGUGGAGUAAACGAUUUCACUGAGUAGUUCUGGUGAAACACAAUUCAUUAUCCAUGACAACACUAUCGCGUUGCAUCUGUACCAUAGAUCUACUAGAUUAUGACCAUAAUUCUCACGUUUGCAGUUGCCAUCUAUGAACCCUAACUUAUUUCGUCCUAAGUUGGCAAUCUUCAUAGCACGACUCCCCACAAAGUAAUUCUCUGGACCUCUAAGCUGCAAGAUAUCAAAAUUGUUCCUGAAUUAUCAUUAGCAUUCAGAAACAAAGGGUGAUUAUGACUUAAUUUUUCUGGAGCUUCGUUAUCAACUUCCGCCAUUGAUGAGCUCACACGAUCACUGUGAUUGAUCGAUUAAUUUUCUGUGGUAGGCUCUGAUAUCAUGUCAAAUAAUUUGAUACAGUAAAACAAAGAGAACUAGAAUUGAAGAAGAAGAAAAC
RNAcentral lists this long non-coding RNA (499 nucleotides) under Nicotiana benthamiana. RNAcentral's name for it is "long non-coding RNA (NBEN_LNC031064)". The record is from RNAcentral. Lineage: Eukaryota; Viridiplantae; Streptophyta; Magnoliopsida; Solanales; Solanaceae.